UGUCCACAAGUAAUCCUUGCGUAUAUCGAUUAUAUGAUGUAUGCGUGCACUGGUCCAAGCAGGAAACAGAGCAU
This 74-nucleotide non-coding RNA is filed under the name uncultured Geminigera. The record is from RNAcentral. Lineage: Eukaryota; Cryptophyceae; Pyrenomonadales; Geminigeraceae.